RNAcentral lists this ribosomal RNA (466 nucleotides) under uncultured bacterium. Its description in RNAcentral is "partial 16S ribosomal RNA". It matches the Rfam family "Bacterial small subunit ribosomal RNA", at positions 28 to 507 of the family's 1533-position model. The record is from RNAcentral.
GACGAACGCUGGCGGCGUGCUUAACACAUGCAAGUCGAACGGAAAGGCCCUGCUUGCAGGGUACUCGAGUGGCGAACGGGUGAGUAACACGUGGGUGAUCUGCCCUUCACUUCGGGAUAAGCCUGGGAAACUGGGUCUAAUACCGGAUAGGAGCCAUUUUUAGUGUGAUGGUUGGAAAGUUUUUUUCGGUGUAGGAUGAGCUCGCGGCCUAUCAGCUUGUUGGUGGGGUAAUGGCCUACCAAGGCGGCGACGGGUAGCCGGCCUGAGAGGGUGGACGGCCACAUUGGGACUGAGAUACGGCCCAGACUCCUACGGGAGGCAGCAGUGGGGAAUAUUGCACAAUGGGCGCAAGCCUGAUGCAGCGACGCCGCGUGGGGGAUGACGGCCUUCGGGUUGUAAACUCCUUUCGCUAGGGACGAAGCUUUUUGUGACGGUACCUAGAUAAGAAGCACCGGCUAACUACGUG